GAUGAACGCUGGCGGCGUGCCUAAUACAUGCAAGUCGAGCGAACGGACGAGAAGCUUGCUUCUCUGAUGUUAGCGGCGGACGGGUGAGUAACACGUGGAUAACCUACCUAUAAGACUGGGAUAACUUCGGGAAACCGGAGCUAAUACCGGAUAAUAUUUUGAACCGCAUGGUUCAAAAGUGAAAGACGUUCUUGCUGUCACUUAUAGAUGGAUCCGCGCUGCAUUAGCUAGUUGGUAAGGUAACGGCUUACCAAGGCAACGAUGCAUAGCCGGCCUGACGGGGUGGACGGCCACACUGGAACUGGGACACGGUCCAGACUCCUACGGGAGGCAGCAGUAGGGAAUCUUCCGCAAUGGGCGGAAGGCUUACGGAGCAACGCCGCGGGAGUGAUGGAGGUCUUUGGAUCUGAAAACUCUGUUAUUAGGGAAGAACAUAUGUGUAAGUAACUGUGCACAUCUUGACGGUACCUAAUCAGAAAGCCACGGCUAACUACGUG
RNAcentral lists this ribosomal RNA (497 nucleotides) under uncultured bacterium. RNAcentral's name for it is "partial 16S ribosomal RNA". It matches the Rfam family "Bacterial small subunit ribosomal RNA", at positions 28 to 507 of the family's 1533-position model. The record is from RNAcentral.